GUUUCUGUAGUUGAAUUACAACGGUGAUUUUUCAUGUCACUGGUCGCGGUUAAAUGCCGUGUAGGAAUG
RNAcentral lists this transfer RNA (69 nucleotides) under Stochomys longicaudatus (target rat). RNAcentral's name for it is "tRNA-Glu". Lineage: Eukaryota; Metazoa; Chordata; Mammalia; Rodentia; Muridae. The record is from RNAcentral.